CAAUCAUUUAAGGUGUGAACCAUAGCUUUAAAUAAAGUUAAAUAUUAAAGGUGUUCAUAUGUUAUGCAAGCCAAACAUAUGAACAGAGUAAACAUAUGGACCGAGUUUAGUGUAAUCAAAUAUAACACAAACAGGUUCAUCUAGUUCAUUAAAUUCUAUCUGUGCAUUCCUUUAACAGAUACUGGUUGAACACCUACUAUGAACCAGGCACAGUGCUUUGCUGGGGGUACACAGAUGAUUGAAACACUGGUCUCCGCUUCAAAGAGCUAAUGGGAGAGGAAGAGGACAUUAGAAUAUGGACAUUCAACAGAGGGAAGACCAUGUCAGGACACAGUGAGAAGAGGCCAUCUAUAAGCCAAGGAGAGAGGCGUCCAAAGGAGCCAAUCCUGCCAACACUUUGA
This 401-nucleotide long non-coding RNA is filed under the name Homo sapiens (human). Its description in RNAcentral is "HSALNT0015958". Lineage: Eukaryota; Metazoa; Chordata; Mammalia; Primates; Hominidae. The record is from RNAcentral.